Populus nigra (black poplar) is the source of this 2549-nucleotide long non-coding RNA. RefSeq lists it as uncharacterized. Lineage: Eukaryota; Viridiplantae; Streptophyta; Magnoliopsida; Malpighiales; Salicaceae. The record is from RefSeq and is a predicted model, not a curated record. The transcript has 4 exons.
AUGAACUCUUGGUGAAAGAUUCGUUUGGUUCUUUCUGCCUUUAGUUAUAUACAUUAUACACGUCAAUAAUUUUAUUUAGUUUUUUAUUUCCUAUUUGAAUUUUUUGCUUCCCUGUUCUUUUGUAUUUGUGAUAUCCAAAUUCAGUGCACCAAGAGACUUCACACUUAAACUUUUUGUUGCUCUGUUUGCUAUGUACAGGCUUCUCUUUUUCUACACAUUACCAUACCAUGUUGUGAAAUUUUUUAGACACGUAACAGUAUCCAAACAACUAGUUGAUGCGUUGUUGAAAGAUGACAUUGGCUAUCACAUGGGUUUCAUUAAGAUAUCUUGCAUGCCUGGUUAAUAUCAAACUGCUAGCGGAUAUCGAUUGAGGACUUUUGCCAUCCUUGUUUCGUAUCAAUUACAUCAGUUUCACGUGCAUGACAAUACUUCUUACCUUUCUUGCUCCAUAAUUUUUCAUGUUCCUUAUUUUUUAGGCUAGGGAUAGAACAGUUAUCUAGUUACUUUUGUUAGAAAAUACAUUAUAUGUCAAAUACAAAUAUAGUAGUAGAAAAACAUCUCAUGGAUCAUCGAUACAUGGAGUUCUUCCAGAGGGGGACCCCUUGUUAGAUUUUUAGGUUUAGUUGAGGUUUUAGUUUUGGGGGGUUUAAGUGUGCAAAGUUUGAUAUUUUAGGUGUGGAAAUGAAUUGAUUAUAGAAAUGGUUAUAGUGUCAGAGUUGAAAGAAACAUUAUAGGCCUUGGACUAUUGAAGGGAAGGAUUUUUAUUGCAGAGAAGGUAGCAUGCAAGGUUACAUAGUAGAAAGCCUUAAAUUUUUUGGCUUAGUUACAAUUGCUUGGCUAUUUCUGAGCCCUUUUACACGACAUAGUACACAGUACGCAUCAAUUACUUGCACUGCUGAACUUCCACUUAUUAACCACAUAUUUACCGACUCAUUACUCUAAAAGCUAGAGCUACAACUACUUUGUCUCUAACUAAUGUUUAUCCAGAACUAUCACUACCGAAACUAACAAUGGUAUUUUAGAUUCCACCAAGUGGUAGCUCCUGACCUAAUUUGCUUGUGGCAGGGAAAUAUUAGUCUUCCAAGGCAGAAUCAGAAUGAUUAUGUUUAUUACAUCUGGUGCCUAAGGCCGGUGAUGUUAAGAUCUGGCAUGCAACAAUAGUUUUGUGAUGAUUUUAUCUUUGAUCCCUCACUUGUGCUGUUAGUAUUACUGCGUUUUAAAAUGUGCAGUUUGAACUCAUGGUAUCAUGGCAAGAGAAUGGGUAAAUGAUGAUUUAUCAUUAACUAUUUGUUCAUGCAUGUUAAAACGUUACGGCUGUUAGCUGGUAACCUACGUAUAUUUUUUGUUUUGACUUUUUAUGUCAAAAAAAAUGAAUUAUAGGUUUCUUCGAAUGUUUAAAAAUGAUAAGGUGUAGUAUCAGGACAUGUUCCAAAUAUGCAAAAGAACACUAGCAAAAACUGUAGGCAGACAAUAUGGCAGAGUCAAGCAAGUUUAAGAACGCAGAAAAAGGGACUUGAAGCCAACCGUUGUCAGACCAUAAACCAGUUAAAUAAUUAUCAAUUGAGGCAUAUUUAAACUCUCCUACCACGAGCUAAAUAUGAUUGUUUUGUCCUAUCUGCAAACUGCAUUUAUGACAAGUCCAAAUUUCACAGAGGCAAUUUUUCUGAAAAUUAGAAAAGAUUUUUCGGACUAUCAGACAAACUAAACGAGGGUUAUCGGAUUAGUGGAAAAUCCUGCUCAUUGGACUUUGGUUGAUGCUAAAGGUGUUGGCAAAUUCUAAUACCCAAACAAGUGACUAAAAAAUGCAGCAUCCCUGUAUCCUUUCUUAGAACUGGGACAAGUUAUUGUGAACCAGUUUGAAGCAAUAGCUGCCCAUGGACCAUUAGGCGGAGAGGGGAAAGGGGAAAAGGGCUCUCGUUUGAACUGUGAAUCCCACUAAUAGUCAAUCCAUUGAUAAUCUCUUAAAAAGAGAGCAUGAAUGAUCACAUAUUGAGUCGAGUGUUUCAGUACGUGAUCUAGCAAAGUGGUAGAGGGAAAUCCCUACAGGUUAGUGAUUCAUUACUGGUGAAAGAGUGGGAUCACACACUAAGCUUCUCAAAAACUAUAGUUAUCCUAAACGCAUGCCACUUCUCUGGUGGACUAUAUUGGAGAGGUAUUAUUAGGUGUUUAAAAAGGAUUUGUAUUGACAAUUAAGUAAAGGUUGGCCUCUCCUCCUCAAUGUUUCGACAAAGAGCAUCAAUGGGUUGCCGGAUUUUCUUUUCCAAGGCAUUGAGAAUUUAUUGUUUGAUUGGUUUUACCAUCUGCUAUCAUGAGUUUCCUGCGAGAGUGUUUGAACAGGAUAAGCAAUGGAGUGUGCGCGCGCAUUAGAAUUGGUCCACUAAGCCCAACACAGCUGUCCUGCUAUGAUGCCUUGUUCUAAUAACAUAUGCUAGGGUUUGGUUUUGGCCCUUCUUUAUCUGAUAAUUUUACAGGUUUAAUUCUAUAUGGUGUUGGCUCACUGUAACUAGCUGAGAUUCAAAAAAAUCAACGUAUUAUUUUAGUUAUUUUAA